Homalodisca vitripennis (glassy-winged sharpshooter) is the source of this 421-nucleotide long non-coding RNA. RefSeq lists it as uncharacterized. The record is from RefSeq and is a predicted model, not a curated record. The transcript has 2 exons. NCBI's taxonomy places the organism in Eukaryota, Metazoa, Arthropoda, Insecta, Hemiptera, Cicadellidae.
GGUUGUUGCAGAUACGGGACCUCUUCUGUAUCCCGCGGCCACAGCGAGCGUUGCACUCUGACCACUGGGACCACGGCGACCAGGCGCCGUUCACUGGAAUACAUUUCGACUCAAGGGAAGAUAGACAAUAGAGGAGGUUAGCCAUGCCAAGGGGGGACGAAGCUUGGUCAACUUCAAAUGGCGACCACAUAAACCUCAGCCACCACAAGCUCUCUCCCGCUACGCUAACCAAACACCACGAGAUUGUCGGCGACAAAAGCAGCGAUCUCAUGGCGGCAGCGGCAUGGCUGAGUGUUGAGACAUCCUCGCCCAGUCUUUGUAACUUGUAUUGUUUGAUAUAAAAAAUGGCCGUACGAGAAAUUUCAAAGAAAGUUCAACUGUUUGAUAUAUGAAAUAAAUAAUUUGGUUUCUAUUGUCAUAA